GAUGAACGCUGGCGGCGUGCCUAAUACAUGCAAGUCGAGCGAACAGAUAAGGAGCUUGCUCCUUUGAAGUUAGCGGCGGACGGGUGAGUAACACGUGGGUAACCUACCUAUAAGACUGGGAUAACUUCGGGAAACCGGAGCUAAUACCGGAUAACAUUUAGAACCGCAUGGUUCUAAAGUGAAAGAUGGUUUUGCUAUCACUUAUAGAUGGACCCGCGCCGUAUUAGCUAGUUGGUAAGGUAACGGCUUACCAAGGCGACGAUACGUAGCCGACCUGAGAGGGUGAUCGGCCACACCGGAACUGAGACACGGUCCAGACUCCUACGGGAGGCAGCAGUAGGGAAUCUUCCGCAAUGGGCGAAAGCCUGACGGAGCAACGCCGCGUGAGUGAUGAAGGGGUUCGGCUCGUAAAACUCUGUUAUUAGGGAAGAACAAAUGUGUAAGUAACUGUGCACAUCUUGACGGUACCUAAUCAGAAAGCCACGGCUAACUACGUG
Molecule: ribosomal RNA, 497 nt
Filed under: uncultured bacterium
Lineage: Bacteria
Description: partial 16S ribosomal RNA
Rfam family: Bacterial small subunit ribosomal RNA
Source: RNAcentral